Molecule: long non-coding RNA, 6381 nt
Organism: Heterocephalus glaber (naked mole-rat)
Lineage: Eukaryota; Metazoa; Chordata; Mammalia; Rodentia; Bathyergidae
Source: Ensembl
CCCGGCCCCAGCCAGCAGCGCUGGGCCCGCGCACCUCCCUCCGCGGGCGGCCGGCGAGGCCCCCGCCUCGUAAUUAGCGGCGCUUAGUUCACAAAACCCUUCCUGGGAGAAAAUCUGUUCCCUCGUUCCGGGGCUCGGUUCAGCACCUGAUUCAGCCGGGGUCUUGGUAUGUAGCCCAGGCUGGCCUAGAACUUGUGGCGAUCCUCCUGCCUCAGCCUCUCAAGUGCUCAGAUUACAGGCCUGUGCCACCAAGCCUGGUUCCUUGGACCCCUAAGUCUGAGCACUCAGAGCUGGCUGCUGUGACCAGGCCAGAAGACUGAGGCUACAGGCUACCCAGCCCUGCCUCACCCACCCCCAGAGCUGUUCUUUGUGUGGAGAGAGUGAUUUUUGCACCAGGCCUGUCCCUCUCUGAGGUGCCCUCAGAGUCAUUCCAGGAGCCUCCUGAGCUGCCCAGGCCGGCCGGGCCGCACCAUGGGCAGGAGGCGGCGGAGGGGGGCAUGUGCAGGUGCGGAAUGAGAAUUAAAAUCGCCCUCAACGAUCCAGUACACUUUUUAUCAGCCAUCUAUCUGAGAGCCGGGCCCAUUCAUCAUCCGAGGCAGUCUCCCUGAAAACAAGACCCAUUCAGAUUUUGUACAAAUUAUCAUAUUUAUCAUCGUCUCCAACUCCGGAGUAACAUCUCGGCCAAGUGUCUGCCGCCUCUGUCUCCGGGGAGCCGCGCCGAGCGCCUUUGCCCACCCGCGACUCCCCGCCCGCCGCCUCCUCCCGCGCCCUCCUGGACUUCCAGCGACCCCACCGUGCAGCCCCAGCCCCGGGACAGCUUCUGCCCCGGAUGAGGAGUUUCCCGCAACCAGCGGGGUCCCAGCUCGGUCCACCUCCUCCUGGAAGCGCGCUGCUCGCUGUGCACGGCCCCAGGAUCAGGGAGGCUUCCCCAGGUCAGCCGACAAACUCUGCACCCGGCCGCUGCAGGGAGAGGCCCACAGGGUCGCAGGAGGGGGGCGUGGCCCCGGCUCCCGGCAAGCAGCGGGUCUCCACCUUUCACUGAGGUCCUCCAGCCUAGUCAGGCAAAAGGCUGCAGCCACAGCUUCUGCGGAGGAUUCUGUCGCUGUGUUGCUGUGGGCCUUUGAUCGGCUUAAUUCCUUCAUUCAUCCCUCGGUUGUUAAUUCAAAAACACUGCCGAGCACCUCUCUGGGUCAGCUCUGGGCUUGGCAUGGGAAUUCCCGUGGGGCCAGCACAGCAGCCUUUUGCCCCUGGAGGGUGCAGUCCAUACAGCAGAACUUCCUGGGGUGGUGCAGGUGCCCUAUCCCUGCAUUGCUCCUCGUGCUGAUACGAGCCAUAGGUGGCCCCUGAGCACUUGAAAAGAGUCAAGUGUGGGUGGCGAACUGAUGUUUCAUUUUAAUUAAGUUGGUUUAUUUAGCAUAGUUGUGGCCAGUGGCUACUGUGCUGGUCAGCACAGCUCUGGCGGGUGGGUUCGUGUUCAUUUUGCUGAGCAAGGCAGGAUACACGUGAAGGAACCCCAUCCUUCCCGGGCUGUGGAAGGCCUGUGGUGGGGGCUCCCUUCUCCCUGUUCCAGUCACCAGUCUCUGAGCAGUAUGAGAAUGCAACUCGGGCUGGGGAUUUAGCUCAGUGGUUCUGCCGCCUGCCUCACCUGCCUUGCCAGCACAAGUUCAAGUCCCUAGUUCAAUCCCCACUACCCCCCCGCAAAAGAAAGCAACUCAACCGGGACAAAUAACAUGAGACCCCAAGUCCCUAAAGCAGGCUGUUGUGCAAUAGAAGCAUUCACUGAAUACAUAUUUUGGUACCAGACACCAUUUGCAAGUGCGCUAUUAUAAGUCUUACCAGGGGCCCAGAUACCUGUGGGGUGAGAACAGUGGGGACGGAAACAAGGAAAGGGUUCUGGAACAACUGAACGCCUUUCCUUUCUUUACCUGUGCUGGGGACUGAGCCCAGGGCCUCGAGCUUGCUAAGUGCAUGCUCUACCACUGAGCUACACACCCAGCUUGGAAAUACUUCAUUUUUUUUUUUUUUGGUACUGGGGAUCAAACUAGGGUCCUUGCGCGUGCGCAGCAGGCUGCGAAACCACGGAGCCAAGUCCCCAGACCAGAGUUUUUUUGGUUUUGUUUUGGUGGUACUGGGUUUUUUUUUUUUUUUUUUUUGGUACCGGGGAUUGAACUCUGGUCCUUGUGCUUGUGAGCCAGGCAGCGGAGCCACUGAGCUAAAUCCCCGGCCCUUGGAAAGACUUGAAAGGAUAUGAUUCUUCAGCUCUGGAGACAGCUGCCAUGCAGAGGCGGGAGCCAGUUAUAUUAGUGAGAUCCUCCUGCUUCAGCCUCCCAGCCUGCUGGGGGUGUGUGUGCUAUUGUGCUAAGCAGUUGUCUGAUUUUUUUUUUGAGACAGGGUCUCUCUAUGUAGUUCAGGUUGGCCUUGCACUCACCUUGUAGCCUGGCCUGGCCUCAAACUUGUGGCAAUUCUCCUGCCUCAGCCUCCCUAGUGCUGGGAUUACAUGUAAGUUAUCUGAUUUUUUUUUUUUUGGUACCAGGGAUCGAACUCAGGACCCUGAGCUUGCGAGGCAGGUGGCGGAACCACUGAGCCAAACCCCCGGCCCUAGUUAUCUGAUUUUUUAAAAAAGGGAAGCCAGAAAUUUAUUUAAAAUUCACUGGAAAUUCAUUAAAAAUUUCAAAAUAAACCACCUAACUGUGCAGAUGAAAAACAACAGAUUGGCAAAGAUAGUUGUUGCAGUUCUAUCUGAAAGUCAGAAGUAUCUUUAAAGAGACUGGAAUGACUGGAUUGUGUGCAACUCAUCCACAGAAGGAGAAAAGUAACCCUUCCCUGCCUUCCUUACUGGGAGUUAAGAGAAGCAAAAUGGAAUUCGCUUCACAUUGACUUAUUGUGAAUGCCUCGGCUCCUGGAGUCCAGGAUUGACAUUUAGUGGGAGGAAAGGCAGUUGUCCCUGCUGUUGGGCCUGAGACAGCCUAAGAGCAGUACCUCUGCCAGGGCCCUGGUUAAAUGGCAUAUGUAUAUGACUUGGAUACAACUAUUCAAUGGAAUGCUAUGUAUCCUUGACUCCAAGGGAAGUAAUAUUAUCUCUAACAAUGUACAUUAUCUUUAUUUAUUUUUUAUUUAUUUUUGGUACCAGGGAUGGAACUCGGGUCCUUGUGCUUUCGAGGCAGGCGGUGGAACUACUGAGCUAAAUCCCCGGCCCUACAUUAUCUUUAAAAUAUACAGAUGUGAAAAGAUCUCCAAAGUAAAUUAAAUGAAAAAAAGCACAAAAUAACAUGUCAUUCACAUGAGAGAAAAAGGGAAUACUCAUGGGAACACCUGCAGAGGCUAGUUCUGUAGUGAUGCACAAGAAACAGGAGUCAGUAACUGCCUCAAGGGCCAACGGUGAUCCAAGAGAUGCACACCUGACUGCCAGCAGCAGUUUUCCAGAUUCCUUGUGGCCCUCCCUUCCUGCUUAUACCUUUGUACUGUCUCAUGCUCAACAGCAGGGACAACUGCCUCUUCUCCCACUAAAUGUCAAUCCUGGACUCCAGGAGCCGAGGGAUUCACAAUAAGUCAAUGUGGAGCAAAUUCCCUUUUGCUUCUCUUAACACCCAGUAAGGAAGGCAGGGAAGGCUUAGUGUUCUUCCUUUUGUAGAUGAGGCAACUGAAGCAUAUGUUGUGGUACAAAUCAACCCAGUCAUUCCAGUAUUUCUCAGCAAUGCCUCCAAGGCCCUGGUCCCAUAGAACCAAAGGGAAGACACCAAGCUGGAGAUGGAGGAAGAAGUAACAGGAGAGCCAUGGCCUUUGAGCAAAGUCUCAUCCACUGGUGGCUGGGGUUCUGUGACUACAACUGUGGCUGAAUGUAAUUUAAAGCCUGAUGUGCGCUGUCGGUUUCUGUGCACAUGAACAUGUAUGUACUCCACCAGCUCUCAAGGCACUGAGUCCCCACUGGUCUCCCUUCUCUGAUAACAACUGUGUCCUCCUGUUUAAGCCUGGACAAAGAGCAAAUGAACCAAAGGAUUCUCUACCUGGCCCCAGAUCCUCUCAGCCUCAGGCCUGGAUCCCAGCCUUAGUGCACGACUAAGGAAGGACAGCAGGUAGAUACUGAGGGAGCACUGUACCUGCACCCCAGUGCAUGUGUCCACGCUCAUGUGGGCACAUCUCAGCCUUGGGCAGGACCCAGGGCCCAGCUGGCACAGGGAGCCAGGGGCAGCCUUAGAUGGCGAUGGCAGAUCUGGCAACUGGCUGAUCAAACAGGCCUCCCUUAGGCUCCCAAGUGUCUCCUUCAAGGGAUCUAUCACACCAAUAGAUACAAAGUACUGCUAGGCACUUUGCAAGUGUUAAUUUCCGACUGCUGCUGUAACAAAUUACCAAAAUUUUAGUGGCUUAAAACAACAUUUGUUAUACACUCUUGGGUUCAGAAAUUUAAAAUGGGACAGGGGAGCUUUAUUUCUUUUGUUUGUUUGUUUUUUGAGACAGGUUCUAUGUAGUUCAGGCUAGCUUUGAACUCACUAUGUAGCCCAGGCUGGCCUCGAAUCCACCGUGACCCUCCUGUGUCAGCCUCCAUAGGGCCAAGAUUACAGGCGUGCACCGCCACACCCACCACUUUAUUCUUUCUUACUUUAUUCUUUCUGGAGGCUCUGGGGGAGAAUUUGUGUCCUUCCAUUUCCUAGCUUCUAGAAGCUACCCAUUCCUUGGCUCAGGGCCACAUCACUGCCAUCUAGGCCUCUGUUCUCACAUUUCCGGUGACUCUAACACCUUUACCUCUCUCUAGAGGAUCUUUGUGAUGAUCUUAGACCCAUCCACAUAACCCAGGAUCAUCUUCGAAAGAUCCUUAAUUAUAUCUACAAAAUCCGCUUUGUCAGAAAAGAAAUUUACUUACAGGCUUUGGGGAUUAAGAUUUUGGAUGACAGUGACUGACUAUUAUUCUGCCUACUAUAGCAAGCAUUAGCCCACCUAGCCCGAAUAACAACUCUAAAAUAGACAUUGUCAUCAUUUUGCAAACUGAGAUGCUCAAGGUUAUACACUUAGUACACAGCAAAACUACAGGCACACCUCCCGAGUCUCCUGAUGAUCACCACACAACUGGGGCCCUGAGGUGCUCUGUGCUGGCAAGUGCCCACUCUGGCUUCACUCACACACACACACACACGCACAGGGGCAUUUCAUGUGUGUGUUCUCCUAAAACAUGCAGACACUACUGAUACGUGAACACACACACAAUACCUGAGCACACGCAUCCACAAACACUCCUAUGCUUAUAUACUGUCACACUGCACACGGGAACACAUGCCCUGCACACACACAUUUGUGCAUACUAUGUCAUGUGCAGUCUGUGCUUAAACAAAUACUGUACACACAUAGCAAAUGUACUUUGAUACUAUUUGCACACACAAAUAUCCUGUGCUAACAACUACAUGAUGCCCUCUGAUACUACUCUUUGCACACCAUGCAAAUAUAUAUUCUCUUUUAAACACACCUUGAACAAAAUAUGACACGCCUGCUAUGACACAUAUAUCCUACACACACAAUUCAUUAAUACCUAUGCAGUCGACACAUAGCUACCUACUCGUGCAUCCUGUGCGCACACACACACUACAUAUUCACUCUUCACACGUGGACACCCUCUUUUGUCUCAAAACACUGCGCGCUGCCGUCUUUCAGGCAUAUUCAGAUGGCGUGCAUAUGUUCUCAAGUACUGCGCGCACAUCCUGCUCACACGUGUGGCAGUUUGAAUACACACACAGAAUCUUCUAAUACAUUUUAUUUUUUGGUACCGGGGAUCGAAGUCAGGACCUUGAGUUUGCGAGGCAGGUGCCGGAACCACUGAGCUAAAUCCCCGGCCCUCUUAAUACAUUUUAUACACAGCUCCUGCCGUUACAGAAAUGUACUAUUCAGCAGGCCCAAAUCUACGCUGAGUUCUCUGCUUUGAUUGCUACUUCACAAGCAAGUAUGCUGCCCACCAGAGGCUGGGGCGCGGGUUGGAGCCGUUCUCCCGGGAGGAGCCGGCGGCAGGGAGGCCCGCCCUCUGCCGCCGAGGUGUGGUCAGCCCCAGGCCCGACCUCAGCCGCGGCAGAAAGUAGUUCCAAUACCAUGUUUGUUAACCAGGUUAUCUGGGCUGUGGAAGAUUUUAAUGUUGAAUUUUAUAGCUUUACCACGCUCUGCCGUCCUUGUGAAUAUUGUAAUAUUGCAUUUUUUACAAGUUACUCUUCUGUUAAUGUUCCAGCUAGUAACUUUUAUAAUCCUCCUCAAUGAAAUUUUUUUGUAUUCUUCCGCACCGUUAACCCCAAUGGCGGCGCCUCGGCCCCUGGCAGGAGGCAGAUAUGAGAUGAAUUCCUCUUUAAUCAGAAAUAAUAAUAAUAAAAACACGCUCGGCUCCUUGCCUCUCGCCCCGGCUUCCCUCGC